RNAcentral lists this ribosomal RNA (1428 nucleotides) under metagenome. RNAcentral's name for it is "bacterial LSU rRNA". It matches the Rfam family "Bacterial large subunit ribosomal RNA", at positions 1506 to 2910 of the family's 2925-position model. The record is from RNAcentral.
CCAAGUUUAAGGUGGUAGGCUGAAAUCUUAGGUAAAUCCGGGGUUUCAAGGCCGAGAGCUGAUGACGAGUCGUCUUUUAGAUGACGAAGUGGUUGAUGCCAUGCUUCCAAGAAAAGCUUCUAAGCUUCAGGUAACCAGGAACCGUACCCCAAACCGACACAGGUGGUCGGGUAGAGAAUACCAAGGCGCUUGAGAGAACUCGGGUGAAGGAACUAGGCAAAAUGGCACCGUAACUUCGGGAGAAGGUGCGCCGGCUAGGGUGAAGGAUUUACUCCGUAAGCUCUGGCUGGUCGAAGAUACCAGGCCGCUGCGACUGUUUAUUAAAAACACAGCACUCUGCAAACACGAAAGUGGACGUAUAGGGUGUGACGCCUCCCCGGUGCCGGAAGGUUAAUUGAUGGGGUUAGCGCAAGCGAAGCUCUUGAUCGAAGCCCCGGUAAACGGCGGCCGUAACGAUAACGGUCCUAAGGUAGCGAAAUUCCUUGUCGGGUAAGUUCCGACCUGCACGAAUGGCGUAACGAUGGCGGCGCUGUCUCCACCCGAGACUCAGUGAAAUUGAAAUCGCUGUGAAGAUGCAGUGUAUCCGCGGCUAGACGGAAAGACCCCGUGAACCUUUACUGUAGCUUUGCACUGACUUUGAGCCUGCUUGUGUAGGAUAGGUGGGAGGCUUUGAAGCGUGGACGCCAGUUCGCGUGGAGCCAUCCUUGAAAUACCACCCUGGCAUGCUUGAGGUUCUAACUCUGGUCCGUAAUCCGGAUCGAGGACAGUGUAUGGUGGGCAGUUUGACUGGGGCGGUCUCCUCCUAAAGAGUAACGGAGGAGUACGAAGGUGCGCUCAGACCGGUCGGAAAUCGGUCGCAGAGUAUAAAGGCAAAAGCGCGCUUGACUGCGAGACAGACACGUCGAGCAGGUACGAAAGUAGGUCUUAGUGAUCCGGUGGUUCUGUAUGGAAGGGCCAUCGCUCAACGGAUAAAAGGUACUCCGGGGAUAACAGGCUGAUACCGCCCAAGAGUUCAUAUCGACGGCGGUGUUUGGCACCUCGAUGUCGGCUCAUCACAUCCUGGGGCUGAAGCCGGUCCCAAGGGUAUGGCUGUUCGCCAUUUAAAGUGGUACGCGAGCUGGGUUUAGAACGUCGUGAGACAGUUCGGUCCCUAUCUGCCGUGGACGUUUGAGAUUUGAGAGGGGCUGCUCCUAGUACGAGAGGACCGGAGUGGACGAACCUCUGGUGUUCCGGUUGUCACGCCAGUGGCAUUGCCGGGUAGCUAUGUUCGGAAAAGAUAACCGCUGAAAGCAUCUAAGCGGGAAACUUGCCUCAAGAUGAGAUCUCACUGGGAACUUGAUUCCCCUGAAGGGCCGUCGAAGACUACGACGUUGAUAGGCUGGGUGUGUAAGCGUUGUGAGGCGUUGAGCUAACCAGUACUAAUUGCCC